CGGUAAUUCCAGCUCCAAUAGCGUAUACUAAAGUUGUUGCAGUUAAAAAGCUCGUAGUUGGAUUUCUGCGGGGACGGAGCGGCCGGACGCAACUUGCGUCUCGAGCUAGCGCUUUCCCCACAUCCUGCCGCGAACCGUGCUACCAUUAGUUUGGUGGCGCUGGGGAUCGGCUCGAUUACUUUGAGAAAAAUAGAGUGUUCAAAGCAGGCCACACGCCUUGAAUAAGUUAGCAUGGAAUAAUGACUAAGGACUUUGGUUCUUUUCGUUGGUGUUCGGGACUGAAGUAAUGAUUGAUAGGGACAGUUGGGGCGGUCCGUAUUCCAAAGCGAGAGGUGAAAUUCUUAGACCUUCGGAAGACGAACAGCUGCGAAAGCGUUCCGCAAGGAUGUUCCCUUUGAUCAAGAACGAAAGUUGGGGGAUCGAAGACGAUCAGAUACCGUCGUAGUCUCAACUAUAAACUAUACCAGCUAGGGAUCGGCCAACGUUUAAUUAUUCGACUUGGUCGGCACCUUAUGAGAAAUCAAAGCAUCUGGGUUCCGGGGGGAGUAUGGUCGCAAGGCUGAAACUUAAAGGAAUUGACGGAAGGGCACCACCAGGCGUGGAGCCUGUGGCUUAAUUUGACUCAACACGGGAAAACUUACCAGGUCCAGACAUAGGAAGGAUUGACAGAUUGAUAGCUCUUUCUUGAUUCUGUGGGUGGUGGUGCAUGGCCGUUUUUAGUCGGUGAAGUGAUUUGUCUGCUUAAUUGCGUUAACGGACGAGACCCCAGCCUGCUAAAUAGCGCGGUCGAGCUUUGCUCGGCACGAGCUUCUUAGAGGGACCAUGAUGCGCGAUAGCACAAGGAAGUUUGGGGCAACAACAGGUCUGUGAUGCCCUUAGAUGUUCUGGGCCGCACACGGGCUACACUGGCGCCUGCAACGAGCAUAUCAGCUGGCCCGAGAGGGUCUUGGCUAAUCUUUGGAACCGGCGCCGUGCUUGGGAUUGACCAUUGCAAUUGUUGGUCAUGCAACGAGGAAUGCCUUGUAAACGCGAGUCAUCAGCUCGCAUUGAAUACGUCCCUGCCCCUUUGUACACACCGCCC
This 1081-nucleotide ribosomal RNA is filed under the name uncultured Rhizaria. Its description in RNAcentral is "SSU rRNA". It matches the Rfam family "Eukaryotic small subunit ribosomal RNA", at positions 577 to 1674 of the family's 1831-position model. The record is from RNAcentral.